AAAUCCUUGUCUGCAUCAUCGUUUCGAAUCCCAUGGCGCUCUGUUCAUUCUCCGAUGCUCAGCUGCAGCGUCGUUUAGGGUUGAGAGUGCAUUGAUGUCGGAAAUCCAUUGUGCUGGUGGUCAGAAAUUUGGAAGGGAUUGUUGCUGUUCGCGAAGUUCAGAGAUAUUUGCAGCGAGGAGAAUUUCCUUGUAGAUCAUUGUCCAGGCAGUUGACGGAUACGCAAUAGGGUUGAGACUUGAGUUCUUUUUCUAUUAAUUAAAGAUUUUUUUAUGUUUCCUGUGAUUUUCAAUUUUAGAUUUGUUUUUUAGUUGUUCAUAAGUUAAUUUUUUAUAUGAUUUCGGCAGAGUUCUGUUUAUGAGAGAAAAAUUCUCUUUGGAAGAUUGAAUUCUGGAUUUCCCUGCUGUUGACUAUCCUUGGUUAUAUACCUGGAAUUAUCUAUGCUGUUUUGGGUCAAUACUAAGGACUGAUCCUCUACAUUAGGAAGGAUACCGAGCUGUUGUAUGGAAAGCUUACAAUGGACAAAGCCCAAAGGAAAGAAAUAAUGGGUUAUUAAUUAAUUUACAUUUUAUUUUAAGAUGAUUUUGUUAUUUACCAGUUUGAAUUUGGAAAUAUUUCAAGUAUAGCUUGUGUUCUGUGCAUGUGAGAAGAAAAAUGAUAAGUCGGCUAUGUAUGUAGGAAAUAUAAUGAUUAAGAAU
Andrographis paniculata is the source of this 696-nucleotide long non-coding RNA. RefSeq lists it as uncharacterized. NCBI's taxonomy places the organism in Eukaryota, Viridiplantae, Streptophyta, Magnoliopsida, Lamiales, Acanthaceae. The record is from RefSeq and is a predicted model, not a curated record. The transcript has 3 exons.